GAUGAAGAACGCAGCGAAAUGCGAUACGUAAUGUGAAUUGCAGAAUUCAGUGAAUCAUCGAAUCUUUGAACGCAUAUUGCGCUCUCUGGUAUUCCAGAGAGCAUGCUUGUUUGAGUAUCAGUAAACACCUCAACUUCCAUAUCUUUUUUGAAAUGGGAGUUGGACUUGAGUGAUCCCAACGCUUUUCCUCACCGAAAAGUGGCGGGUUACUUGAAAUGCAGGUGCAGCUGGACUUUUCUCUGAGCUAUAAGCAUAUCUAUUUAGUCUGCCUAAAAAACAGAUUAUUACCUUUGCUGCAGCUAACAUAAAGGAGAUUAGUUCUUGUGCUGACUGAUGCAGGAUUCACAAAGACAGGCUUCGGCCGACUUUGUAAACUCGAUCUCAAAUCAAGUAAGACUACCCGCUGAACUUAAGCAUAUCAAUAAGCGGAGGA
This 433-nucleotide unclassified non-coding RNA is filed under the name soil metagenome. Its description in RNAcentral is "partial contains 5.8S ribosomal RNA, internal transcribed spacer 2, and large subunit ribosomal RNA". The stretch from base 1 to 120 matches the Rfam family "5.8S ribosomal RNA", at positions 35 to 154 of the family's 154-position model. The record is from RNAcentral.